This is a non-coding RNA of Maylandia zebra (zebra mbuna), 696 nucleotides long. Lineage: Eukaryota; Metazoa; Chordata; Actinopteri; Cichliformes; Cichlidae. The record is from RefSeq and is a predicted model, not a curated record.
AACAAUGACCUGCGGGAUUCAGGAGUGAAGCUUCUGUCUGCUGCACUGCAGAGUCCACAUUGUACACUGGAAACUCUCAGAUUGAAGGACUGUGGUUUGUCAGAGAUCAGCUGUGAUUAUCUGGCAGCAGCGCUGAAGUCCAACCCCUCGUAUCCCAGAGUGCUGGACCUGAGUGGAACCUACAACAACCUGCAGGAUUCAGGAGUGAAGCAGCUGUGUGUUCUUCUGGAGAAUCCACGAUGUCGAUUUGAAACUCUGAGAUUGAAGGACUGUGGUUUGUCAGAGAUCAGCUGUGAUUAUCUGGCAGCAGCGCUGAAGUCCAACCCCUCGUAUCCCAGAGUGCUGGACCUGAGUGGAACCUACAACAACCUGCAGGAUUCAGGAGUGAAGCAGCUGUGUGUUCUUCUGGAGAAUCCACGAUGUCGAUUUGAAACUCUGAGGUCAGUCACAUGUUUUAGUUGUGCUGAGAUGAAUAUGAUGUGAAAGUUGUGCUGACACUGUGGAUCAGUAGGCCCACACACCUCUAUACAGGAAGUCUGGUUCUACUCUUUGUAGAACUUCUGAUCCCUGAUCCUCUGAGUCUGACUCAGUAGAUAAUGCAGAGUUCUGAGCUGAUGUGGGUGAGAGGACUCAGGCAGCCUGACAGAGUUGAUGUCCAGGUCUUCCCUGCUUGUCCUGAUACACAUAAACAUGAGU